Molecule: long non-coding RNA, 1054 nt
Organism: Gallus gallus (chicken)
Lineage: Eukaryota; Metazoa; Chordata; Aves; Galliformes; Phasianidae
Exons: 2
Source: RefSeq, a predicted model, not a curated record
GACCACAUCUGAUCCUCUGGCUGUGGGGCAUGUCAGAGUGCUCCCUGAUACCACCCGCCUACCAUCAACAGAGCUUCCUGCUGUGCUGCAAUUACCAAAGGCAGCGAGGAGGCAUUCAGCCUGGGAAAUUAAAAGAAAAUAGGCUUCCCUUUCCACUUACAGUGGUAGAAAGCCAGCUGGAAAUCCGAAUCAGGUUGUAGAUCUCAUGGGAAUCUCUUCCUGACGGCAAGUGACAAGAUUCCUGGGAGAGGAAGGGGCAACCUCUGCUGAGACCAGAGCUCCAGGAGAACUGCUGAAGAGCUCUCACAGCCUUGAAGCCCUUUUCAUGUGGUUGAGGAUGUGCUUCAUGACUCUGAGACAAUAUCAGGCUGGGACAAUUACCCCUGCCCCACAUUUCCUGAUUUCCAUGAUGUGUCUCAUGAAUGUGCAGAAGAAAACUGCAACACCUUCUUGGCAGGACCUACUCUGGAUAAGAGAGAGCCCUGGGUAGCACUGACUCCUGAUGAAGCACCACAGAGACUUCUGGAGAAGCCACUGAAAUGCAGUUCAGCAUGAGAACAGCGUGCAGGUUGCUGGAACCAUACAGCAAACUACCUGCAUACAGAGAGUUACUGUUAAGAAACUGAAGUCCAAAGAAAACAUGCAUAUGUAGGUGUGUGUGCAUUUUUUUUUUCUUCUUUCUCUCUCUCUCUCUCUCUCUCUUUUUUUAGCUUUACAAGAAGGAGAAGUUACAGAAAUUUGUAAGAAAAGUCCUGGAAAAUGAUAUCUGAGAGAAAAAAAACAACUGAGCUGCUGGAUAAACUUGCUCAGCUCAAGCAGACUCUUGAGCCUUCCUGCAUUUAGCGCGCAUCACUUACACAAAGGGCUGCAUAAUCCCAUUUCAGUACUGUCAGACACCAAACGCCCCAGAACAACAGUGUGGCAGUUAGGAAAGAUGUCUCCUUCCAGCAGAAGUACAAGAGAAAGUUGUACCUUGAGAGGGAUUAUCUCUGCUAGAGAGACGGGAUGCAUGAUUUGCUGUAUUCAUUUGCAUUAAAAAUGCUUUCCCUAUGCA